Molecule: ribosomal RNA, 800 nt
Filed under: Serratia marcescens
Lineage: Bacteria; Pseudomonadati; Pseudomonadota; Gammaproteobacteria; Enterobacterales; Yersiniaceae
Description: bacterial SSU rRNA
Rfam family: Bacterial small subunit ribosomal RNA
Source: RNAcentral
AUGCAAGUCGAACGGUAACACAGGGGAGCUUGCUCCCUGGGUGACGAGCGGCGGACGGGUGAGUAAUGUCUGGGAAACUGCCUGAUGGAGGGGGAUAACUACUGGAAACGGUAGCUAAUACCGCAUAACGUCGCAAGACCAAAGAGGGGGACCUUCGGGCCUCUUGCCAUCAGAUGUGCCCAGAUGGGAUUAGCUAGUAGGUGGGGUAAUGGCUCACCUAGGCGACGAUCCCUAGCUGGUCUGAGAGGAUGACCAGCCACACUGGAACUGAGACACGGUCCAGACUCCUACGGGAGGCAGCAGUGGGGAAUAUUGCACAAUGGGCGCAAGCCUGAUGCAGCCAUGCCGCGUGUGUGAAGAAGGCCUUCGGGUUGUAAAGCACUUUCAGCGAGGAGGAAGGUGGUGAACUUAAUACGUUCAUCAAUUGACGUUACUCGCAGAAGAAGCACCGGCUAACUCCGUGCCAGCAGCCGCGGUAAUACGGAGGGUGCAAGCGUUAAUCGGAAUUACUGGGCGUAAAGCGCACGCAGGCGGUUUGUUAAGUCAGAUGUGAAAUCCCCGGGCUCAACCUGGGAACUGCAUUUGAAACUGGCAAGCUAGAGUCUCGUAGGGGGGGGUAGAAUUCCAGGUGUAGCGGUGAAAUGCGUAGAGAUCUGGAGGAAUACCGGUGGCGAAGGCGGCCCCCUGGACGAAGACUGACGCUCAGGUGCGAAAGCGUGGGGAGCAACAGGAUUAGAUACCCUGGUAGUCCACGCUGUAAACGAUGUCGAUUUGGAGUUGUGCCCUUGAGGCGUGGCUCC